Long non-coding RNA from Coregonus clupeaformis (lake whitefish), 210 nucleotides. RefSeq lists it as uncharacterized. The transcript is spliced from 3 exons. The record is from RefSeq and is a predicted model, not a curated record. Lineage: Eukaryota; Metazoa; Chordata; Actinopteri; Salmoniformes; Salmonidae.
CCUGGUUUUGACUGAAGUUUGGCAUGGAUGAAAAGGAAGCAGACUUUAAUCGCUCUGAUAUUGAUUGAAAUAGCCGACAAUGAAGACUGAUGAAGCUCUGGGAGCUGUUGGAGGUCAUCCUACUAACAGGACAAACCAAAGGAGGAGCAGUAUCGAAUUGUAUCCCCCUAACAUGAGAUCAGAGCAGACAGAAAUCGGUCAGAGUGAUCA